ACGUAGGGGGCGAGCGUUAUUCGGAAUUACUGGGUGUAAAGGGUAUGUAGGCGGCCCUUCAAGUCGCGUGUCAAAGUCCAGUGCUCAACGCUGGGUGUGCGCGCGAUACUGACGGGCUUGAGGGCUGGAGAGGUGAGCGGAAUUCCCGGUGUGGUGGUAAAAAACGUAGAGAUCACGAGAAACACCAGAGGCGAGGGCGGCAAACUAGAUAGUUUCUGACGCUAAGAUGCGUAAGCGUGUUGUGCUUAUAG
This 251-nucleotide ribosomal RNA is filed under the name uncultured prokaryote. RNAcentral describes it as "partial 16S rRNA". It matches the Rfam family "Bacterial small subunit ribosomal RNA", at positions 525 to 775 of the family's 1533-position model. The record is from RNAcentral.